This is a transfer RNA of 74 nucleotides. It matches the Rfam family "tRNA". From Rfam's summary of the family: Transfer RNA (tRNA) molecules are approximately 80 nucleotides in length. The record is from Rfam.
CGGGGUGUGGCGCAGCUUGGUAGCGCAUCCGCUUUGGGAGCGGAGGGUCGCAGGUUCAAUUCCUGUCACCCCGA